CCUACGGGAGGCAGCAGUGGGGAAUAUUGCUCAAUGGGGGAAACCCUGAUGCAGCGACGCCGCGUGAGCGAUGACGUACCUACGUAUUUUAAGCUCUAUUUGCAGGGAAGAAAAUGACGUUACCUGUCUAACAUGCCCCGUCUAACUACGUGCCAGCAGCCGUGGUUAUAUGGAGGGGGCCGGCGUUAUACGGAUUUACUGGGGGUAAUGGGAGCGUAUUCGGUUCUGCAAGCGAGAUGUGAAAGCCCGGGGCUCAACCCCGGGACUGCAGUUGGAACUGGAAGGCUUGAGUGUCGGAGAGGCAGGCGGAAUGCGUAGUGUAGCGGUGAAAUGCGUAGAUAUUAGGAAGAACCCCGAUGGCGAAGGCAGCCUGCUGGAGGAUAACUGACGUUGAUGCUCGAAAGCGUGGGGAGCGAACAGGAUUAGAUACCCUUGUAGUC
This 440-nucleotide ribosomal RNA is filed under the name uncultured bacterium. Its description in RNAcentral is "partial 16S ribosomal RNA". It matches the Rfam family "Bacterial small subunit ribosomal RNA", at positions 338 to 795 of the family's 1533-position model. The record is from RNAcentral.